AACGAACGCUGGCGGCAUGCCUAACACAUGCAAGUCGAACGAGACCUUCGGGUCUAGUGGCGCACGGGUGCGUAACGCGUGGGAACCUGCCCUUAGGUUCGGAAUAACUCCCCGAAAGGGGUGCUAAUACCGGAUAAUGUCUUCGGACCAAAGAUUUAUCGCCUUUGGAUGGGCCCGCGUUGGAUUAGCUGGUUGGUAGGGUAAAAGCCUACCAAGGCGACGAUCCAUAGCUGGUCUGAGAGGAUGAUCAGCCACACUGGGACUGAGACACGGCCCAGACUCCUACGGGAGGCAGCAGUGGGGAAUAUUGGACGAGGGGCGAAAGCCUGAUCCAGCAAUGCCGCGGGAGUGAUGAAGGCCUUAGGGUUGUAAAGCUCUUUUACCCGGGAUGAUAAUGACAGUACCGGGAGAAUAAGCUCCGGCUAACUCCGUG
Molecule: ribosomal RNA, 433 nt
Filed under: uncultured bacterium
Lineage: Bacteria
Description: partial 16S ribosomal RNA
Rfam family: Bacterial small subunit ribosomal RNA
Source: RNAcentral